UGGGGAAUAUUGGGCAAUGGGCGAAAGCCUGACCCAGCAACGCCGCGUGAAUGAAGAAGGCCUUCGGGUUGUAAAGUUCUGUCCUAUGGGACGAAGAAAGUGACGGUACCAUAGGAGGAAGCCCCGGCUAACUACGUGCCAGCAGCCGCGGUAAUACGUAGGGGGCGAGCGUUGUCCGGAAUUACUGGGCGUAAAGGGUGCGCAGGCGGCGAUUUAAGUCAGAUGUGAAAUACCCGGGCUUAACUCGGGGGUUGCAUUUGAAACUGGAGUGCGUGAGGGCAGGAGAGGAAAGUGGAAUGCCUAGUGUAGCGGUGAAAUGCGUAGAUAUUAGGAGGAACCCCAGUGGCGAAGGCGACUUUCUGGACUGUAACUGACGCUGAGGCACGAAAGCGUGGGGAGCAAACA
Molecule: ribosomal RNA, 405 nt
Filed under: uncultured prokaryote
Description: bacterial SSU rRNA
Rfam family: Bacterial small subunit ribosomal RNA
Source: RNAcentral